Ananas comosus (pineapple) is the source of this 2712-nucleotide long non-coding RNA. RefSeq lists it as uncharacterized. The record is from RefSeq and is a predicted model, not a curated record. NCBI's taxonomy places the organism in Eukaryota, Viridiplantae, Streptophyta, Magnoliopsida, Poales, Bromeliaceae. The transcript has 3 exons.
AUAUGAUUCAUAUUUUUGUUUUGUGUGAAUUGACUAUAACACCCUCCUAUGUUUACUUCUCAAAGUUGAAUAAAAAUCGGCAACCUGAGGGAGGACAACUAGUGUUCAAAAUUUUGUUGGCAUUUUCAGGGCUUCAGCACAAUCUACCCAAGAAACGGGGUUAUAACACUCGAGUUUCUAAGUGUAAAGAGGCUGCCUGUGCUCUUUUAUUGUAAGUUUUCUUAAACUAACAAGAAUAACAUUAUUCUAAGGAUAGGUUUUCAUCUACAUUUCUGUAAUUCAAUUUUAUGUUUAGCUGAUCGAAUGACUUGUCAUUUGUUGCGUAGAUGAAAGGAUUAUGCAGUCUUACACUCGAUUAUAUGUGCAAGCUCAAAUAAUACAUAAAUUAUCAGUUGAACAGAGCCUACCACAUAACCCAUGCAUGAAGCCACUUGAAAAUGCAACGAAACCAUUUGGAUGUUUAAGAAAAGAAAUAGGAUCUUUUGCCUGCAAAUAUGCACAAGUACGCAAAUAUUUUUGCAGAGUCACUAUUUGUGUGUUUAUACCUAAAAAACCUUGCUUAUUUGCAACGUGAGGUAUCCCUCUUCGGUACAUAUGCAAAUAAACAAGGCUUUUCAAGGUAUGGACAUGAAUACUAACUUUGCAGGGGUAUUUCAAAAGUUUUGCACGAAUACUAACUAUCAUUUUACUGUUGAGAAAUCAGCCUCUCUUUGUGUUGGGAAAACUAUUAGUACUUCUUGUGUCCAAUUCUGUUUUUCACCUUUUUUUCCCCUCUAAAUUGUUACUCGAAACAUUAAAUAAUCAAAUUAGCAUUGGUCUUUAUGCACAAUUAGUGACUUAUACUUUUAUUCUGUUGCAAUGUAUGUCACAACAAACUAAAAUAUUAAGAUUACCUGCCUUUGUUUGGGUUACUUAGUCAUGUUCUAUGUAGUUCUAGGCCAGCAUUUGUUGAAAGAACUUUAUUCAGUUUACUCUACUAAGUAUAGAAUCUGUAUGUCGCUUAUUAAGUUUCAAUUAUCUUGCCUUACCAUCUGAUAACACAAUGCAUCUCUCUUGUUUGUAAUAUUUCUCAGUGCAACUAAAUCUCAUCUUACUUUCAUAUAGAGCAACAACGGUUUUCAAAGGAUGGCUACAAAAAACACUUACAAGUGAACCAUCUGGCCCCAGCGUUACUAUCAAUGUUGCUUUUGCCUUCCCUUCUUCGAGGCUCUCCCAGUAGAAUUAUAAAUGUUAACUCCAUUAUGCAUUAUGUAGGUUUUGUUGACACGGAAGACAUGAACAUGACAUCUGGGAAAAAGAAAUACACAAGUUUAUGGGGAUAUUCAAAUAGCAAAUUGGCACAGGUAAAGUUCAGCAGCAUCCUUUAUAAGAGAAUUCAUGCUGAAGCCGGUAUUAAUGUACUUUGUGUUUCCCCUAGAAUUGUUCACACAAAGGUUGUAAGUUUCCUUCAACACAUCAUGCCAAAUAUUCAUGUCAUUUUAACUAUGUCCAUACCUUAUUCCGAUUUAAUUUUCUAGACAGUUUAAUUCGAUUCAAUUAACAAAACUUUUACAAUGAUCUUACUAAAGAAGAAGAUAUUUGAAUUUGUCUCUUUUUUCCCCACAUUUCUGUGUUUGAAGUAAACAGAUUGCUUACAAUGUAUAGGCCAGGGAUCUGCCCAAGAUUGUAAUAGCGGCUUACCAUCUAAGCCCCUAUUUCAUAUUCGAUGCCCAGGAAGGUAUGCAGUUAUACUAUUUUUCGGAUUUUUGUUACUUCGUAUCUUUGAGGCAAAUCGAAUCAAGCGGCUAGUGAAGUUUUGAACUUUCUAUUAUAUAUUCGUUGAAAUCAGUAUUUGUGUGUUUCCACUUUAGCCGUACGAGAUGAAAUUCUCAUAUACGGUUCUCAGAGGGGGAGUUCUUUUGGGUUACCUAUCUCAAUAAAGUAUAUGAUUGGUUUGAGGAACAUCCUGAGAUUCAGGGGAUUGCACUUAACAUGACACAUUUGUAUAUUCACUUUAUUGUUCUCUUUUGACAUGUGUGUUGAAGUUGUCUAUUUUGUUUACUUAGCUAUAUAGUUCCUAUUCACUAUAUAUUUGUUACAAAAAUAGUAUCAAUGCCUCAGCUCAUCCUCUGUAUUGCCAGCUUACUGAAAGCGGUUUACUUUUUGCAGGAUGUCGCUUUGCUAUGUUAGAUCUACAGCCAAAGCUACGUCAAACCUGCAGCUUUCGAAGUAAAAUAAUAAUAGCUUGAGCUCUUAGAAUUUGGGAUUUUUUUGAGAUAAUAAAUGUUUAACGACAUUUAGAAUUUGUUAUUGUUUCACUGAAAAUUCAAAUAAGCAUUUUGUAGUUGAAACUCAUGUAUGAAAUAUAUUUUUAAUAUUGAAACUGUGAUUUGUCGCAAAUUAAGAUUACGUUUUGGUAAUGAAUGUUUUCUAAUUUCAAUUUAUUGAAAUAUUUAAUUGUCGAUCAAGUGUUUUAAUAUAUAUUGCAAUUGCCGCUGUAAGUCUUAUUUAGUAAUUAUUUAGUAUACUUUGAGUAGCAAUUAUAAUUAAUUAUGAUGUCAUUUAUAAUUGUUGUUAUUGGGUAGGAUUUAGUGGCAUUUGUUGUCAAACAAAUGUCAUAAUAACUUUUACUGACCACACUAUUAGUGGCAAUUACUAUAAUUGUCACUAAACUAUUUAGCGACAGUUAUAAUUGUCGGGAUUUUAAAAAAUAAUCACCACUAAAUAAGGGUG